AUAGGUAUAAAUUCAGCAGUCCCCAAACACACCCAAUAUGCUACAAAGACAGCUAGAGAAAGAGGCUACAGUGGAUGGCCUGAUACAGCCAGUCAUACCCCGCAGGAACUCGCUGAAGCUGGUUUCUUUUAUGCAGGUUUUGUUGACUGUGUCCGGUGCUUUUACUGUGGGAUAGGACUACGUCACUGGACCAAAGAUGACACUCCUUGGAUAGAGCAUGCCAGCUGGUCUCGUAACUGUGUGUUUGUGAAACAGAAGAAAGGGGAGGAGUUUGUUAACCUUGUCCAACUUGCUGUUCACUACUCCCAAGAU
Molecule: long non-coding RNA, 312 nt
Organism: Mercenaria mercenaria
Lineage: Eukaryota; Metazoa; Mollusca; Bivalvia; Venerida; Veneridae
Exons: 3
Source: RefSeq, a predicted model, not a curated record